UACGGAGGGUGCAAGCGUUGUCCGGAUUUAUUGGGUUUAAAGGGUGCGCAGGUGGGUAUUUAAGUCUGGUUUGAAAGCAGGUGGCUCAACCAUCUGAUGUGGCUGGAAACUGGAUAUCUUGAAUGGGUUGGCGGUAGCCGGAAUGGGUCAUGUAGCGGUGAAAUGCAUAGAUAUGACCGGAACACCGAUUGCGAAGGCAGGCUACUACGACUUGAUUGACACUGAGGCACGAGAGCAUGGGUAGCGAACAGG
This 252-nucleotide ribosomal RNA is filed under the name uncultured bacterium. RNAcentral's name for it is "partial 16S ribosomal RNA". It matches the Rfam family "Bacterial small subunit ribosomal RNA", at positions 524 to 776 of the family's 1533-position model. The record is from RNAcentral.